CACACUUCCUUCCUAUGAUUCGGAGAACUAAACGGAAGCGAAAGCAUAAUGUUCUUUUUACUGCUGUCAUUAUUCGUUCCAUGAGAAGCGGUAGUAUUCAACACCGAUUGAUAGUUGUUUAAAUGGCGGGCUUUUUGCCAAGCUGGAAAAAUGUGAAAGAAAUUGGCAACCAAGUUUUGGGUCAUGGGGACUACCAACAAGCAACCGAUCACUAUAGCCAUGCCAUUUUUCUGGCGGAGGUAUGUGGUGGUGCAAGCAUUUGGGAACUGUCAGCAUUGUACAGCAACAGGUCCCAUUCCUUUGCAAAGCUAGGAUUCAUCGAACAAGCUCUUCAGGAUGCUUUCCAUUGUAUUGAAAUAAAUAGGAAUUGGUUUAAGGGAUACUGGCGAGCGGGACAGGCUUUGAAACUUUUGCAUAAGCCCCAAGAAGCUCUUCAAGUAUUUAGCGAUGGCUGUGCACUGGUGAAUGAAGAUGAUGGCAAAAACUUUCAUACUAAAGUUGACUUCAUUGUGGAAAUAGUAUCCUUGUCUCAUGAAAUUGGAAGCUGGAUGCACCUUGCAACACAUGUUAGAGCUCGUGAUAAUGUGUGGUCGCAGCUGCUGUUUUGUAUGGCAAAAAAGAAGAAGUGGGAAACACUCUUAAUCCUGCUAAUGGGAACUGGAGUCUUCAGAAAAGAAUCUGUCAUGUUUAAUUACCAAGGAAAGUUCCCCAAAAUAAGCACUCAAAAGAUCUGUCUUACCAACUUAAUCAAGUACUGUGCAUCUCAAGCAGACCCUAGUUUUGUGCAUCUUGCAAUCAAUCUUCUGCAACAUGGAUCCAAAGAAACAGAUAUAACAUUAGAGACGGGGGACACUCCAUUCCAUGCAGCUCUUACAAUUGCAGUGAGAACCUCAAAUACAGACCUUUUGUGGCAUUUGGUUAAUUCCAACCCAGACAGGGUUAAGGGAGUACAAGAUGCCCGCGGGGAUACUCUCCUGCACAAAUUGGCCAAAACACUGGCAAGGGAACCUUCUCUUCUCUUUGGGGAUGUCACAUCUGAACUCAUGGAAAAAAAAUAAAUCUGAUAAAAAAAGGUGAGCUUGUCAGUUCCAUGGGCAUAAAAUUGUUACAGGUAGAUCCCAACAUUAGAAAUAAAG
This 1136-nucleotide unclassified non-coding RNA is filed under the name Lingula anatina. Its description in RNAcentral is "tPR and ankyrin repeat-containing protein 1-like, transcript variant X3". The record is from RNAcentral. Lineage: Eukaryota; Metazoa; Brachiopoda; Lingulata; Lingulida; Lingulidae.